AACGCACAUUGCGCCCUUUGGUAUUCCGAAGGGCAUGCCUGUUCGAGCGUCAUUAUCAACCCUCAAGCCUGGCUUGCUGUUGGACCUUCGUCGUUAAACCGACGGGUCUCAAAGACAAUGACGGAGUCAGUUGGACCCUAGAUGCAACGAGCUUUCGAGCACGCAUUGACGGGGCCGGUGGCUCUGGUCUUCACCCCAUAUUUUUAUACAAGGUUGACCUCGGAUCAGGUAGGAAUACCCGCUGAACUUAA
RNAcentral lists this unclassified non-coding RNA (251 nucleotides) under uncultured fungus. RNAcentral's name for it is "partial contains 5.8S ribosomal RNA, internal transcribed spacer 2, and large subunit ribosomal RNA". The stretch from base 1 to 52 matches the Rfam family "5.8S ribosomal RNA", at positions 103 to 154 of the family's 154-position model. Lineage: Eukaryota; Fungi. The record is from RNAcentral.